RNAcentral lists this ribosomal RNA (465 nucleotides) under uncultured bacterium. RNAcentral's name for it is "partial 16S ribosomal RNA". It matches the Rfam family "Bacterial small subunit ribosomal RNA", at positions 28 to 507 of the family's 1533-position model. The record is from RNAcentral.
GACGAACGCUGGCGGCGCGCCUAACACAUGCAAGUCGAACGAGCGAGAGAGAGCUUGCUUUCUCGAGCGAGUGGCGAACGGGUGAGUAACGCGUGAGGAACCUGCCUCAAAGAGGGGGAAAACAGUGGGAACCGAUGCUUAUACCGCCAAAGGCCACGGCCCCGCCUCGGGGGGGGGGGAAAAGAGCAAUCCGCUUUGAGAUGGCCUCGCGUCCGAUUAGCUAGUUGGUGAGGUAACGGCCCACCAAGGCGACGAUCGGUAGCCGGACUGAGAGGUUGAACGGCCACAUUGGGACUGAGACACGGCCCAGACUCCUACGGGAGGCAGCAGUGGGGAAUAUUGCACAAUGGGGGAAACCCUGAUGCAGCGACGCCGCGUGGAGGAAGAAGGUCUUCGGAUUGUAAACUCCUGUUGUGGAGGAAGAUAAUGACGGUACUCAACAAGGAAGUGACGGCUAACUACGUG